UACGGAGGAUCCGAGCGUUAUCCGGAUUUAUUGGGUUUAAAGGGUGCGUAGGCGGAAAUGUAAGUCAGUGGUGAAAUCCUGCAGCUUAACUGUAGAAUAGCCGUUGAAACUGUGCUUCUUGAGUACAUUUGAGGUAGGCGGAAUGUGGUGUGUAGCGGUGAAAUGCAUAGAUAUACCACAGAACACCGAUUGCGAAGGCAGCUUACUAAACUGUCACUGACGCUGAUGCACGAAAGCGUGGGUAUCAAACAGGAUUAGA
This 259-nucleotide ribosomal RNA is filed under the name uncultured prokaryote. Its description in RNAcentral is "partial 16S ribosomal RNA". It matches the Rfam family "Bacterial small subunit ribosomal RNA", at positions 524 to 782 of the family's 1533-position model. The record is from RNAcentral.